GCAUUUUUGCCAUAUAUCUCUUGUUAAUUGUUCCUUGCUAUGGUGGUGCAGAUCCCCAAUAGAUCUCCCCUAGAAAAUGUCGGGUGUAAAUCUCUCCAUAUAGAGUCAACCCCAUAAGCAGAAAGUGUCUUUUGUCUGUCCUUCUGCAGUUCCCCACUGAGAUAUAUCCUCGUGGAUGACGGUUUCUUCCGUUUCCUCCCAACAUAUAUAUUGGGAUGGAUUUUCCUAUUUGAGUUACAUCCUCAUUAGGACGUCUUUUGAUUCAGUCUGUCCUUUCGGAUUAUUCCCGAAUUGGCUAUUUGUCAAAUGUCUUGUGUUUCCCAGUGGGUUGUUCCCCAGCG
RNAcentral lists this long non-coding RNA (341 nucleotides) under Lathyrus oleraceus (garden pea). RNAcentral's name for it is "Pisum sativum (pea) long non-coding RNA (PSAT_LNC014146)". The record is from RNAcentral. Lineage: Eukaryota; Viridiplantae; Streptophyta; Magnoliopsida; Fabales; Fabaceae.